This 709-nucleotide ribosomal RNA is filed under the name uncultured bacterium. RNAcentral's name for it is "bacterial SSU rRNA". It matches the Rfam family "Bacterial small subunit ribosomal RNA", at positions 140 to 851 of the family's 1533-position model. The record is from RNAcentral.
GGGAUAGCCUUUCGAAAGAAAGAUUAAUACCCGAUGGCAUAGUUCUUCCGCAUGGUAGAACUAUUAAAGAAUUUCGGUCAUCGAUGGGGAUGCGUUCCAUUAGGUUGUUGGCGGGGUAACGGCCCACCAAGCCUUCGAUGGAUAGGGGUUCUGAGAGGAAGGUCCCCCACAUUGGAACUGAGACACGGUCCAAACUCCUACGGGAGGCAGCAGUGAGGAAUAUUGGUCAAUGGACGAGAGUCUGAACCAGCCAAGUAGCGUGAAGGAUGACUGCCCUAUGGGUUGUAAACUUCUUUUAUACGGGAAUAAAGUGAGGCACGUGUGCCUUUUUGUAUGUACCGUAUGAAUAAGGAUCGGCUAACUCCGUGCCAGCAGCCGCGGUAAUACGGAGGAUCCGAGCGUUAUCCGGAUUUAUUGGGUUUAAAGGGAGCGUAGGCGGACGCUUAAGUCAGUUGUGAAAGUUUGCGGCUCAACCGUAAAAUUGCAGUUGAUACUGGGUGUCUUGAGUACAGUAGAGGCAGGCGGAAUUCGUGGUGUAGCGGUGAAAUGCUUAGAUAUCACGAAGAACUCCGAUUGCGAAGGCAGCCUGCUGGACUGUAACUGACGCUGAUGCUCGAAAGUGUGGGUAUCAAACAGGAUUAGAUACCCUGGUAGUCCACACAGUAAACGAUGAAUACUCGCUGUUUGCGAUAUACAGUAAGCGGCCAAG